Molecule: ribosomal RNA, 468 nt
Filed under: Platycarenus umbraculatus
Lineage: Eukaryota; Metazoa; Arthropoda; Insecta; Hemiptera; Pentatomidae
Description: partial large subunit ribosomal RNA
Rfam family: Bacterial large subunit ribosomal RNA
Source: RNAcentral
AGUUUGCCCUGCUCAAUGAUUAUAAAUUAAAUAGCCGCAGUAUUUUGACUGUGCGAAGGUAGCAUAAUCAUUUGUCUUUUAAUUGAAGGCUGGAAUGAAUGGGUUAAUGAAAAAAAAUCUUUCUUUGUAUUAAUAAAUUGAAUUUAAUUUUUUGGUUAAAAAGCUAAAAUUUUUAAGUGGGACGAGAAGACCCUGUAGAAUUUAAUUUAUGUGGUUUAAUUAUUAUUUAUUGUUAUAAAGAUAUAUUAAUUUGUAUAAAUUUUGUUGGGGUGACAGGAAGAUUAAAUUAACUCUUUUAUAUAAUUUUAUAUUUAUUGAUAUUUUAAUGAUCCUUUAUUAUGGAUUUUUAGAUUAAAUUACCUCAGGGAUAACAGCGUAAUUUUUUUGGAGAGUUCUUAUCGAUAAAAGAGUUUGCGACCUCGAUGUUGGAUUAAAAUUAAUUUAGGUGUAGAAGCUUAAAUUUAGGUC